UUCACUUCCGAUUUCCCAACCUAUCUGUACGUAGACUUGUUUGUUCUCUUCUUCUUUUCGAUUCGUCGGUUUGCUUUUUCUUUUAUCCCUACUGAUUUAAUACCGUAUUAUUUGAUAUCAUGAUAACGACGAUUCAGAUCAUCGAGUGCUUUUUCUGCAGCUCUUUCUAUUAUUUCUUUAUUUUUCUAACUGAGCUCCUGAAUUAAUUUGCACGGUCAUUCGAGGCUCCGGGUAAAACAUGGGGAAAUAAAUCGAAUUUUCAUCAUGCGUGUCUUCUAACAGCUGAUUUGUGGACAACCAAAAAGAACCACUAGUUGGCGAGUGCCAGACAUUAGGUCAAAACUUCGAUCUGCGAUUUAGUUCUCAAACCAACGAUCUCUUCAUAGAUAUGGUGUGACAAUUACCAUUUGAUUUUCCUGGAGCCUACUUAAUAAAUUUUAUUUUAGGGGUGGGGGUUGGGUUUGGAUGGUUAACCUAAGAAUUAAAUUGGAAGAACUAGAGAUAAGAAUAUACAGGCCCGCACAAAGUAUGUGGGUACCCUCAAUGGUCCGAUGGAGUAGGCAGAACACAUGACAAAGGUUAAAGACGAUGAUACUCGGCUGUAAUGGAAUAGAUAACUGAUAACCCAUGACAAGUAAUCCAAUACUUAGUUGACCAACUGCACCCUUUUGUGAGGAUCUCAGCGUUCUCUAAAACGGGAUUUUCCUGGAGGUGGGCAAGGACUGGAUAUGUAUAAUGAGAUGAGAGAAUUUGCAUGCACAAAGUAUGUGGGUACCCUCAAUGGUCCGAUGGAGUAGGCAGAACACAUGACAAAGGUUAAAGACGAUGAUACUCGGCUGUAAUGGAAUAGAUAACUGAUAACCCAUGACAAGUAAUCCAAUACUUAGUUGACCAACUGCACCCUUUUGUGAGGAUCUCAGCGUUCUCUAAAACGGGAUUUUCCUGGAGGUGGGCAAGGACUGGAUAUGUAUAAUGAGAUGAGAGAAUUUGCAUGGGCAUCUCUUCUCCUUUUUUCAUUGAUCUAAUGAGUCCCCUUGCACUAUGAUGUACAACCUGGCUGAAAUCUCUACGAAUGCAAGGUCACAGGCUCAUAGCAUGGUGAAAGAUUAUCUUGGAUUCCUGUUGGAGAAACAAAUUGAGCUUCACUCAUCCUGCAGGAGGGAUCACCAUAUUGAGCCCCAAUUAUAUUGAAGGCUGUAAGAUUAGUAAUGACUUAGUUUCUUUGCGACUCACAACAUCUGGAUGAAUUAUUUUGUGAAUUCCUAUUGGAUAUUGAGCCCCAAUUACAUUGAUGGUUGUAAGAUUAGUAAUGACUUAGUUUCUUUGCGACUCACAACAUCUGGAUGAAUUAUUUUGUGAAUUCCUAUUGGAUAAUUGCUUUACUUCCACUAAUAUCCUGGAUGCAUGAUACUCCAAAAAUCUGGAGUCUGGUUGGACUCUUCAUUUUUUUUUUUUCCUUGUCGAUUCAACUCAUAAAUCAUCUGGAGCUUGACCUUGCAAUGGACUUAUGAUUUGGAAAUAUCAAGGUAUUUUGUUAGUUUUUUAUAGUUCUAGGUUUUCGCAAAUUUCAAUGGUUUCAAGUUUUUCGACCCACCCAGAGAUUUCCAAGUUUCGGAAAUUUUUACCCAAAUUCUAGAAUUAGCCCAAAAAAUCUGGUUUCGACCAGGUUUUGGAAAUUUUGAACCUCGUCCUUGUGUAGGUUAGCAUGUGUGAGGGAACAAUAACCAGUGGUAAAUGGACAAAUUUCCAUUUACUCUAUUUCCGCUACAUCAAGGCUCGAUAUGAUCAACUUCUUUCUGCAUUGGGCAUGGAUAGGCGAAACUACACAGGGAAGUUUCUUGUGGAAAUUAGCAUAGGUUGUUAGUAAAUGUCAGUUUGUCACAAUUUUUUGAUUGAGAAGAGUCUUUAGGGAUGGGAUGCAAUGCUACAACUAUGAAGGGACUCUUCAGUAUCUUAGGGUUUAAAAGCAAAAGAAAAAAAAAAAUAAAAUGUAUAGGGGGUAGAUUUAUAAUGCUUGCAUAUAAAUGAGGGAAUACUUGGGAUACUGCCAAUAUAUAUCCGAGUGCGACUAUUUUUCUGUCAAAUCUGUUUUUAUUAUCCAUAGGAGAGCGAGAAUUGAAGCAUAUGUUGCAUGUAGAGUUAGAUUGGGUGGUGAGGUGGAGAAUGAUAUAGCAUACUUCUUGGAAGUUGGAACAGAAUAUUCAAAACACCAAGAACAAUAUAUUUGUCAGAAUGAGUAUAGGGAUGAGGAUGUUGGGGCUGAUGAUGGGCAAGAUUCUGGAAGAUAUUAGGAAGUAAGUUACAAUGAGGAAAUUCAGGGUAGUUAGAAUGGGCGAGAGGAUGGAAACCGCACAAAAUAUGGUUUGAUCAUGGCCAACAAAAAGAUCAAUGCUCGUGCUAGUGAGAGAGCUUUUUGGUGCAAGUUGAAGGGCACUAAAA
Long non-coding RNA from Macadamia integrifolia, 2439 nucleotides. RefSeq lists it as uncharacterized. The record is from RefSeq and is a predicted model, not a curated record. The transcript has 2 exons. NCBI's taxonomy places the organism in Eukaryota, Viridiplantae, Streptophyta, Magnoliopsida, Proteales, Proteaceae.